This 21-nucleotide microRNA is filed under the name Canis lupus familiaris (dog). Its description in RNAcentral is "cfa-miR-872". Its record names the gene cfa-miR-872. Lineage: Eukaryota; Metazoa; Chordata; Mammalia; Carnivora; Canidae. The record is from miRBase by way of RNAcentral.
AAGGUUAUGUGUUAGCUCAAG